UACGUAGGGUGCAAGCGUUAAUCGGAAUUACUGGGCGUAAAGCGUGCGCAGGCGGCUUUGCAAGACAGAUGUGAAAUCCCCGGGCUUAACCUGGGAACUGCAUUUGUGACUGCAUGGCUGGAGUGCGGCAGAGGGGGAUGGAAUUCCGCGUGUAGCAGUGAAAUGCGUAGAUAUGCGGAGGAACACCGGUGGCGAAGGCGGCAUCCUGGACCGGCAUUGACGCUGAGGCGCGAAAGCCAGGGGAGCAAACGGG
Molecule: ribosomal RNA, 253 nt
Filed under: uncultured bacterium
Lineage: Bacteria
Description: partial 16S ribosomal RNA
Rfam family: Bacterial small subunit ribosomal RNA
Source: RNAcentral